RNAcentral lists this ribosomal RNA (305 nucleotides) under uncultured bacterium. RNAcentral describes it as "bacterial SSU rRNA". It matches the Rfam family "Bacterial small subunit ribosomal RNA", at positions 334 to 653 of the family's 1533-position model. The record is from RNAcentral.
UACUGCCUACGGGAGGCAGCAGUGGGGAAUAUUGGGCAAUGGGCGCAAGCCUGACCCAGCAACGCCGCGUGAAGGAAGAAGGCUUUCGGGUUGUAAACUUCUUUUCUUGGGGACGAAGAAAGUGACGGUACCCAAGGAAUAAGCCCCGGCUAACUACGUGCCAGCAGCCGCGGUAAUACGUAGGGGGCAAGCGUUAUCCGGAAUUAUUGGGCGUAAAGAGUGCGUAGGUGGUUACUUAAGCGCGGGGUUUAAGGCAAUGGCUCAACCAUUGUUCGCCCUGCGAACUGGGUUACUUGAGUGCAGGA